RNAcentral lists this ribosomal RNA (519 nucleotides) under Triticum aestivum (bread wheat). RNAcentral describes it as "partial small subunit ribosomal RNA". The record is from RNAcentral. Lineage: Eukaryota; Viridiplantae; Streptophyta; Magnoliopsida; Poales; Poaceae.
AUGUCCAUAUUAGCUAUAGACGUUUUUCUAGUAGUGCCUUCGGGAGAAUUCUCCGUUAGUUCAGCCUAUCAGGCGUUAUGUCGGAUGCCGGUUAUACAGUGGUUAUCCCCACUGUGGAAGGCACUGUUACCUUUGAAGAUUAAGAUUUUUGUUUGGCAGCUUCUCCGAGACCGUCUACCUUCGGGGACCGAGGUCCUGAAACGCCAUGGUCCGGGCAAUGGACUUUGCCCUUUGUGCCAUGUCCCAGAAACGGGAACGCACAUUUUGUUUUCUUGCGUAGCAGUGCAGGCACUUUGGGGCUUCGUACGUGAGGCUUUAGGGCCAGAGUGGGAGGCCCAUGACCUUGCAGGGUUUCUGCAGGUUAGGGCCACUCAGGUUGGCCGUAAGCGCCGACUAUUCUGGCUCAUCUUUGCAGCUAUGAUGUGGACUCUCUGGACUACUCGCAACAUGAUGGUGAUUGAGCGGGUGUUCCCGCGACGUGCUUCUGACUCAUUCUUCAAAUUUCUUGCCUUCCUGUAG